RNAcentral lists this ribosomal RNA (380 nucleotides) under uncultured eukaryote. Its description in RNAcentral is "partial 18S ribosomal RNA". It matches the Rfam family "Eukaryotic small subunit ribosomal RNA", at positions 592 to 976 of the family's 1831-position model. The record is from RNAcentral.
CAAUAGCGUAUAUUAAAGUUGUUGCAGUUAAAAAGCUCGUAGUUGGAUUUGUGGCGUACGGUGUGUUCCGGGCACUUGUUGUCUGAGUAACCUGCUGUUGCCAUCCUUGGGUGGAACCUGUGUGGCAUUAGGUUGUCGUGCAGGGGAUGCCCAUCAUUUACUGUGAAAAAAUUAGAGUGUUCAAAGCAGGCUUAUGCCGUUGAAUAUAUUAGCAUGGAAUAAUGAGAUAGGACUUUUUUGCUAUUUUGUUGGUUUGCGCAAAGAGGUAAUGGUUAAUAGGGACAGUUGAGGGUAUUCGUAUUCCAUUGUCAGAGGUGAAAUUCUUGGAUUUUUGGAAGACGAACUACUGCGAAAGCAUUUACCAAGGAUGUUUUCAUUAA